This 251-nucleotide long non-coding RNA is filed under the name Lathyrus oleraceus (garden pea). RNAcentral describes it as "Pisum sativum (pea) long non-coding RNA (PSAT_LNC023491)". The record is from RNAcentral. Lineage: Eukaryota; Viridiplantae; Streptophyta; Magnoliopsida; Fabales; Fabaceae.
CUUUUUGCAUGAAAUUGGUGAUCAUAUAAAACCCUAAAAAAUGGAAUAAAAUCGAUCUUUUCAUAUGCAUAAUGAUUUGCCUUGUUUGAUUUCUAAAAAGCUUUUCAUAUCCAAAAAUCAUUAUGCAAGUUGAUUUCUAAACCCAUUGAACAAAUAUGCAUAAUGAUUUGCCUUGUUUGAUUUCUAAAAAGCUUUUCAUAUCCAAAAAUCAUUAUGCAAGUUGAUUUCUAAACCCAUUGAACAUAAUGACC